Molecule: ribosomal RNA, 52 nt
Filed under: Mycobilimbia carneoalbida
Lineage: Eukaryota; Fungi; Ascomycota; Lecanoromycetes; Lecideales; Lecideaceae
Description: partial 28S ribosomal RNA
Source: RNAcentral
GAUUGACCUCGGAUCAGGUUAGGAUACCGCUGAACUUAAGCAUAUCCAUAAC